Molecule: transfer RNA, 72 nt
Filed under: Pseudocalotes microlepis (Burmese false bloodsucker)
Lineage: Eukaryota; Metazoa; Chordata; Lepidosauria; Squamata; Agamidae
Description: tRNA-Gln
Rfam family: tRNA
About the family: Transfer RNA (tRNA) molecules are approximately 80 nucleotides in length.
Source: RNAcentral
UAGGGUGUAGUAUUAUUGGGCAUACGAAGAGUUUUGGACUUUUAGAUGGAGGUUCGAGUCCUCUUUCCCUAG